Molecule: ribosomal RNA, 426 nt
Filed under: uncultured bacterium
Lineage: Bacteria
Description: bacterial SSU rRNA
Rfam family: Bacterial small subunit ribosomal RNA
Source: RNAcentral
UGGGGAAUAUUGGACAAUGGGGGCAACCCUGAUCCAGCAAUGCCGCGUGUGUGAAGAAGGCCUUCGGGUUGUAAAGCACUUUUAUCGGGAACGAAACAUUGUCGGCCAAUACCCGGCAAGACUGACGGUACCCGAGGAAUAAGCACCGGCUAACUCCGUGCCAGCAGCCGCGGUAAUACGGAGGGUGCAAGCGUUAAUCGGAAUUACUGGGCGUAAAGCGUGCGCAGGCGGUUUGUUAAGUCUGCUGUGAAAUCCCCGAGCUCAACUUGGGAAUUGCAGUGGAUACUGGCAAGCUGGAGUACGGUAGAGGAAGGUGGAAUUCCCGGUGUAGCAGUGAAAUGCGUAGAGAUCGGGAGGAACACCAGUGGCGAAGGCGGCCUUCUGGACCAGUACUGACGCUCAUGCACGAAAGCGUGGGGAGCAAAC